UACCGGCGCCUCAAGUGGUAGUCGCUUUUAUUGGGCCUAAAACGUCCGUAGCCGGUCUGGUACAUUCGUGGGUAAAUCAACUCGCUUAACGAGUUGAAUUCUGCGAGGACGGCCAGACUUGGGACCGGGAGAGGUGUGGGGUACUCUCAGGGUAGGGGUAAAAUCCUGUCAUCCUGAGAGGACCACCUGUUGCGAAGGCUCCACACUAGAACGGAUCCGACGGUCAGGGACGAAGCCUAGGGGCACGAACCGG
Molecule: ribosomal RNA, 253 nt
Filed under: uncultured bacterium
Lineage: Bacteria
Description: partial 16S ribosomal RNA
Rfam family: Archaeal small subunit ribosomal RNA
Source: RNAcentral